AACGCUGGCGGCGUGCCUAACACAUGCAAGUCGAACGAGAAAUCCCGAGCUUGCUUGGGAGAGUAAAGUGGCGCACGGGUGAGUAACGCGUGGGUAACCUACCUUUGAAUCUGGAAUAACCAGCCGAAAGGCUGACUAAUACCGGAUAUGGUUUUUUAGGCUUAGGCUUUUUAAAUUAAAGGUGACCUCUUCAUGAAAGUUGCCGUUCAUAGAUGGGCCCGCGUACCAUUAGCUAGUUGGUGGGGUAAUGGCCUACCAAGGCGACGAUGGUUAGCUGGUCUGAGAGGAUGAUCAGCCACACUGGAACUGGAACACGGUCCAGACUCCUACGGGAGGCAGCAGUGAGGAAUUUUGCGCAAUGGGGGAAACCCUGACGCAGCAACGCCGCGUGAGCGAAGAAGGCCCUCGGGUCGUAAAGCUCUGUCAAGUGGGAAAAAAAUCUUUUGAUCAAUAGUCAAAAGACUUGAUGGUACCACUGGAGGAAGCACCGGCUAACUCCGUGCCAGCAGCCGCGGUAAUACGGAGGGUGCAAGCGUUGUUCGGAUUUACUGGGCGUAAAGAGCGUGUAGGCGGUUUAGCAAGUCAGAUGUGAAAGCCCUGGGCUUAACCCGGGAAGUGCAUUUGAAACUGCUUCACUAGAGUAUGGGAGAGGAGAUUGGAAUUCCUGGUGUAGAGGUGAAAUUCGUAGAUAUCAGGAGGAACACCCGUGGCGAAAGGCGAUUCUCUGGACCAAUACUGACGCUGAGACGCGAAAGCGUGGGGAGCAAACAGGAUUAGAUACCCUGGUAGUCCACGCCGUAAACGAUGAGAACUAGGUGUAGUGGGUAUUGACCCCUGCUGUGCCGAAGUUAACGCAUUAAGUUCUCCGCCUGGGGAGUACGGCCGCAAGGCUAAAACUCAAAGGAAUUGACGGGGGCCCGCACAAGCGGUGGAGCAUGUGGUUUAAUUCGACGCAACGCGAAGAACCUUACCUGGGUUUGACAUCCUCUGACCGUCUGGGAAACCAGAUUUUUCCGGCUUUGUCGGAACAGAGUGACAGGUGCUGCAUGGCUGUCGUCAGCUCGUGUCGUGAGAUGUUGGGUUAAGUCCCGCAACGAGCGUAACCCUUGUCUUUAGUUGCCAUUAUUAAGUUAGGCACUCUAAAGAGACUGCCUCGGUUAACGGGGAGGAAGGUGGGGAUGACGUCAAGUCCUCAUGGCCUUUAUAUCCAGGGCUACACACGUGCUACAAUGGGCUGUACAAAGGGUUGCUAUCCCGCGAGGGGGCGCUAAUCCCAAAAAGCAGUUCUCAGUUCGGAUUGAAGUCUGCAACUCGACUUCAUGAAGGUGGAAUCGCUAGUAAUCGUGGAUCAGCAUGCCACGGUGAAUACGUUCCCGGGCCUUGUACACACCGCCCGUCA
RNAcentral lists this ribosomal RNA (1399 nucleotides) under uncultured delta proteobacterium. Its description in RNAcentral is "16S ribosomal RNA". It matches the Rfam family "Bacterial small subunit ribosomal RNA", at positions 32 to 1399 of the family's 1533-position model. Lineage: Bacteria; Deltaproteobacteria. The record is from RNAcentral.